RNAcentral lists this ribosomal RNA (301 nucleotides) under uncultured bacterium. Its description in RNAcentral is "partial 16S ribosomal RNA". It matches the Rfam family "Bacterial small subunit ribosomal RNA", at positions 509 to 807 of the family's 1533-position model. The record is from RNAcentral.
CAGUCGCCGCGGUAAUACGAAGGGUGCAAGCGUUAAUCGGAAUUACUGGGCGUAAAGCGUGCGCAGGCGGUUGUGUAAGACAGGUGUGAAAUCCCCGGGCUUAACCUGGGAACUGCGCUUGUGACUGCACAGCUAGAGUAUGGCAGAGGGGGGUGGAAUUCCACGUGUAGCAGUGAAAUGCGUAGAGAUGUGGAGGAACACCGAUGGCGAAGGCAGCCCCCUGGGCCAAUACUGACGCUCGUGCACGAAAGCGUGGGGAGCAAACAUGAUUAGAUACCCCGGUAGUCCCUGUCUCUUAUAC